CACGUAGGGUGCGAGCGUUGUCCGGAAUUAUUGGACGUAAAGAGCUCGUAGGCGGUGUGUCGCGUCGGCCGUGAAAAACCUGCAGCUUAACUGUGGGCUUGCGGUCGAUACGGGCAUCACUGGAGUUCGGCAGGGGAGACUGGAAUUCCUGGUGUAGCGGUGAAAUGCGCAGAUAUCAGGAGGAACACCGGUGGCGAAGGCGGGUCUCUGGGC
Molecule: ribosomal RNA, 213 nt
Filed under: uncultured bacterium
Lineage: Bacteria
Description: partial 16S ribosomal RNA
Rfam family: Bacterial small subunit ribosomal RNA
Source: RNAcentral